UACGUAGGGCGCAAGCGUUGUCCGGAAUUAUUGGGCGUAAAGAGCUCGUAGGUGGUUUGUUACGUCUGCUGUGAAAACCCGCGGCUCAACCGUGGGCUUGCAGCUGAUACGGGCGGGCUGGAGUUCGGUAGGGGAGACUGGAAUUCCUGGUGUAGCGGUGAAAUGCGCAGAUAUCAGGAGGAACACCGGUGGCGAAGGCGGGUCUCUGGGCCGAUACUGACGCUGAGGAGCGAAAGCGUGGGGAGCGAACAGG
Molecule: ribosomal RNA, 253 nt
Filed under: uncultured bacterium
Lineage: Bacteria
Description: partial 16S ribosomal RNA
Rfam family: Bacterial small subunit ribosomal RNA
Source: RNAcentral